AGAAAGCAGAAAAACCAGCUUUGAACUCUGCGUGCAAGGCCUCCUGAGCCACAGGCCCUUUAAUGUAGAAAUCUACUCUCAGGAGAAAGACUACUUCCAAACUGGAGCACUGUCAGCUGUUGGCGAGAUGAUUUCUCUACAAAAAGGAUGUUACCGCUAGGUCCAAAGGGAAGCAAAUAUGAAAAUAGAAGGGAUCUCUGGCAGAACUGAAAGAUGCUUCACCUCAUAGAAAAAUAAACAUUUCUCGCAAAACUAAGAGGGGCAUGCUUCCGAACCAC
Long non-coding RNA from Chionomys nivalis (European snow vole), 278 nucleotides. RefSeq lists it as uncharacterized. The record is from RefSeq and is a predicted model, not a curated record. The transcript has 3 exons. NCBI's taxonomy places the organism in Eukaryota, Metazoa, Chordata, Mammalia, Rodentia, Cricetidae.